This is a long non-coding RNA of Stegostoma tigrinum, 2196 nucleotides long. RefSeq lists it as uncharacterized. Lineage: Eukaryota; Metazoa; Chordata; Chondrichthyes; Orectolobiformes; Stegostomatidae. The transcript has 8 exons. The record is from RefSeq and is a predicted model, not a curated record.
GGUGGCGAGUAACAGCAAAUGUAUUUAUACUUUGAAAUAGUCUGUAAUAGCUGAGAAGUUUAGUGAGGCCCCUUUGAGGCCCCUCCUCCUUCCAAAAGCUUUUGUUAAUAAAGCAGUGCCUGACUCACUAUUAAAUUGUAUUUGGUAACAAUUUACCUACAACAAAAGCAACAAAGUGUUUAAAGGGGAUCUCUUCAGGGCACGAGCCAAGAUUCUUAAUAAGUCUGACUGGCACUGCAUCUGGACCUACUACAACACAUGAUUGAACAUCCAUACAACUGGGAAAAUUGCAGAGGCAUUUGUCAGAAUUGCAUUAUGAUGGUGAUGAUACUGCUUGGCACAACACCAAUCUACACCAAUGAGGAGUCUCUCUCAAAUCUAGUCUGAUCCCAGCUACAGCUUCUUUGAUAUCAUCUCCAGUCAUUUUGCUUUAGUAAUCUUCAAAUUGGCCUGUUCUGAGCGUAUUCUGAUACUAAAACGGUCUGAGAUAACAAAGUGUGAAGCUGGAUGAACACAGCAGGCCAAGCAGCAUCUCAGGAGCACAAAAGAUGAUGUUUCGGGCCUAGAAAAAUUACCCAUUUCAAAGAAAGCCCUCAUUCACAAGAAGUUGGUGUACGUACCCCUUGGGUAACCGGGAGCAGCUUGCAUGACUGGGGCUCCCUGAUGGGACCAGACUAACAGUCACAAACAGGAACUCAGAUUCUACGAGGUCCACCUGGCCGACCUUGUUACAAUCAUUACACAAUGGUUGUUGCCUUUAAUGAUGACACCCAAGAUCCAGGAUUGCCAAUGGCUCAGGCUUCAGUGGAUUAAUGGCAGGAUGGGGACCAUGGGUGGAUUUUACUGACAAGGAGAAGGUUAACAACAAAGGGAAGGCAAUCUACAAUCCUUACAUGGCCUGGCCUCUAUGUGACUCCGGACCCACAGCCACAUGGUUGACUCUUAACCAUCCUCUGAAUGAUUAUUCAUGGCCAGUAACUGUUGACCUAGUCAAUGAUACAUUCAUUCCAUGAACAAAUGUUUUAAAACAUUGUUGUCUCUGGUGUGGCAGGCCUGCUUCAGGACGCACAAGCUAUGGAAACAGAUGUAAGCAUAAGCUUUGCUUUGUUCUCGAGCUGUAGGAGGUCUUCUAGGUUUAAGACAUGUACAUCUGCCUUUCAUUUUUUUUCUAUCCACUGCAGAGCUAAUUUUGACAUUGUCAAUGAGUAUAUAAAAGAGAAACAAACAUUGUGGCCGUUAAUGUUGAAGCCCAAUUCUCCUUAAGGCUCUGCAAAAUAACUUACUGGCAAAACGCAAAAGAUACAAAUGAAUUAAAACAGCUGCUCAGAUACUACUUCAGUGGCUUGACAUAUUUAUCUUAACAUUAUUCUUCAAAAAAAUUGUGAAAAUUCAUGAAAAGCAAUAUCUGAUCGUAAACUUAGUGAUACAAAGCAAACAAAUCCUGUGAAUAUAAAAUGAAGUGCAGCCUUCUCAAGGCAUUUUCCACUUGGAAUCUUCCACUACAUGACCAUGCACCUAUGUAGUAAGGGUCAGGAGGGCAUUCACCUAAUAGAAGUAUUGCAAGUGAACACAACUCUCUCCUCCCUUUAUCCCAAGCCAUUCAACCCCUCACCGUCUCUUAUCUCACAACACACACACAAUUUAUUUAAUUACAUAUAAAUUGGAACGUGAACUCUGGCUCCCCCCCUGUCUAACUAAGGACCCUGGAAGGUGUUUGUAUAAUCAGCAAGAUUGGAUGAGAUCAACUAACUUGGCAUAGGCAAAGAAUAAAUAAAGCAUGGUUAACUUGUAUGACUCAUCUAGAUAUAUCCACAAAGGACCACGAAAGCAUGAAUCAACUGUAGUCUUGUCAGGAGAACACAAGAACAGUCUGCAGCUCAGCCCUCAGAUGAAAUAGGCUGUUCUUGUAUUAAAGAACAUUACUUGUUUGGUUAGCUUGUUGCUCAGCAAUGGAGCUGAAAUCUUGCAUGAAAAAUUCUGUCCUCAAAUUGAUUUUUGAUUUUUCUGCCGUUUGAUAGGAGGAUUUAUCCAGUGUAUCUAAGGUGCUUGGCCUAUUUAACAGAGAAUAUUAUGAUACUGAGUCAGGAUAUAACUACACCAUUAAUAAAGUUGAGAAUCAUGUGUGACUUUGGUCAUAUUUCCAAAAUGAGUGACAGUGAAUCGGCAGUCUAUUUUGCACUCUUUGUCAACACUUAU